GCCUAUGUAGCUCGGUCGGUAAAGCACCUGACUUGGGCUCAGGUCAUGAUAUCUUGGUUUGGUUCAUGAGUUUGAGUCCCACUUUGGGCU
RNAcentral lists this transfer RNA (90 nucleotides) under Felis catus (domestic cat). It matches the Rfam family "tRNA". Rfam says of the family: Transfer RNA (tRNA) molecules are approximately 80 nucleotides in length. Their secondary structure includes four short double-helical elements and three loops (D, anti-codon, and T loops). The record is from Rfam by way of RNAcentral. Lineage: Eukaryota; Metazoa; Chordata; Mammalia; Carnivora; Felidae.